RNAcentral lists this long non-coding RNA (588 nucleotides) under Penaeus chinensis. RNAcentral's name for it is "uncharacterized LOC125044322, transcript variant X2". The record is from RNAcentral. Lineage: Eukaryota; Metazoa; Arthropoda; Malacostraca; Decapoda; Penaeidae.
CUGCGUGCUGGUGAAAGAAUACUUUUGAAGGAAACUUCGGGAAGAAGCCACAGUAUUGAAUAUGAAUUGCUGAGUGUGAGAGAUCGGUUUGGAUCGUGGGUGAUUCGCUGCGUCAUGGACUUCGGAUGACAAAUAAGGAACGGCUAUGGCUAUGGUCAUCGUCAAACCGCCUGUACACUGCACGAGGGCAACUAAAUAUGGAGCCAGAACACAUUACGCAGUGCGACCUCCGCCCACAUAACCCAUGUGCACUUUGGACUUCAAUUAAAUAAUUCGGAGGCAAGAUCGGUAGCGAAGAAACUAUUUUCACCUGGGGGAAUUUUCGAUUCACGCUGGGACUGGACUAAUUACUGUCUGCAUGAUCCCACAGGAUAAAAAUGGAACCAUAUUAAGGAUUCUUUUCGAAUAAUGUAAAGAGACGAUUUGUGUUGUGGUCUAGUCGGCGAAUAAAGAAGAGUCGUAGAAGUGUUGCGGACAAGAUCGGCGGCUACAUUAUUGGAAAUGUUUUGAUCUGUGGAAGCUGUAUCCUGCCACCGUCUUUCUCUUGCUCUGUGCACCUGUCUUUGAAAUAUAUCGGAUGAUAAAGAU